CUUACAAUGAUAGUUAAAACAAUUCUAGUCACAUGUAGUUACAAUAAAGACAAACUUAAUCACAAUUAACAAACACUUGAUUCCGGAGGGUCAAAAUCGAUCACAAUUAAUAAAGAUUUGGUCACCUCAUAGUCUAAACACCACCGCGCGACAAACCCACCUCCAUUAAUCGAAUCAACCGCUACCAAAAAUCUGGCCAACGAACGAAUUAGAAGAACUCAGACUAUUACUCUUUUUCGUACUAUUGGCAAUGGAAGAAAGAUCUCCUGAGAUGACAGUCUUUCUCCUUGGCUUGUAUUCGUUAUUGCCUUUUUGUUCGAAAUCGAGAUCUUCGCUUUUGAGAAAGGGACCAAAAAAUCUGGCCACCACUAGUUCUAUUAAAAUAGACACCGUUGGUAUUGAUGGAGGCAACGAUGAAUAAACUAGAAAAACUCAUCAGCAAAGAAAUUUAAAUUCUAGAAUCUUGCAAUUUGGUAAUCGCAUCUGAAUCCUCACUUUGUAAAUUUUUACUCUUCAACUUCAACUCCUUUUUCUAGAACAUUCAAACACAACUGAUCCAGAUGACGAUUGAACAUAUGAACUCUCUUGCAACUCCAACUUCAAAGCCUCCACUUACUAGUCAGAGGACUCAUUUGACUCUAUGUUAUCAAAUCGACGGAGAUUGUGUAUGAAAGGGAUCUUACGACCGAAGUAUCAUGGGAAAAGACUCUAAUAUUGAAGGUGAGAUCGA
RNAcentral lists this long non-coding RNA (730 nucleotides) under Olea europaea subsp. europaea. The record is from RNAcentral. Lineage: Eukaryota; Viridiplantae; Streptophyta; Magnoliopsida; Lamiales; Oleaceae.